UGGGAAUAAGUUACUUUAUCUGCUAACAACUGAUAUAUUUGGUUUCACUUUUGAUUUGCACUUUUGUGUUUAGAAGUAAACUUUCUCUACACUUUCUCUGCUUUGCCCUUAUGCAUUAUUGAUACCAAUAUUAUCCUAAGUGGCUCAGUGGUAAAGAAUCCACUUGCCAAUGCAGAAGACACAGGAGAUUCAGGUUCAAUCCCUGGGUCAGGAAGAGCCCUUGGAGGAGAAAACAGCAACUCAAUCCAGAAUUCUUGCCUGGAAAAAUCCCAUGGACAGAGGAGCCUGGUGGGCUACAGCCCAUUGGGUAGCAAAGAAUCAGACAUAGCAACUGAGCAUGCACGCACUCAUAAAGUAAAUUUCUCUGACAGGCAGCUGCUUCCUCAACUCCCACUCCUGCUAUGAGGUCGCCUCCCCACCGUUCCAGUUCUCACGGGGAACUGUGUAUCCAUGUCCCCUCCGUGUAGUCUUUCUACUGCUGCUAGCCUCCAGGAGUCUCACCAUCCCUUGUCAUUCCUUACACCUUGCCAAUGCCUUCAUUAAAUUGCAUGGAAACUGGAAUAGUGAUGGCUAUUCUAUGGUGGAUUAUAGGGAAGACUGACAAUCACGUGAAGUUACUGACUUAUAUCACAAAGAAUAUUUUAAUGGAUAGUUACCUGAGCAGCUGGAUUCAUCAGGUUGGAAAUCCAUGCAGUCUGCAAAACCAUCACAGCGCUUGUGCACUGGGAUACAGCUGUUAGAAGAAGAGCAUGUCAAAGCUCCAUGAAAACAGCUCUCGUUGGCUGAAGGA
This is a long non-coding RNA of Dama dama (fallow deer), 790 nucleotides long. RefSeq lists it as uncharacterized. The record is from RefSeq and is a predicted model, not a curated record. Lineage: Eukaryota; Metazoa; Chordata; Mammalia; Artiodactyla; Cervidae. The transcript has 4 exons.